Molecule: long non-coding RNA, 388 nt
Organism: Ochotona princeps (American pika)
Lineage: Eukaryota; Metazoa; Chordata; Mammalia; Lagomorpha; Ochotonidae
Exons: 3
Source: RefSeq, a predicted model, not a curated record
AGGUGCUUGCCCACUGAGUACACAGCCAUGAGCAGCCCUGAGCCCGAAAGAGUGGUGGCCGCGCCACCGAACACCUUGAGCACACUGCUGCCACCGCUGUGGCCCAGCGCAUGACCACUGCUCAGGGACAGAUGUGAGGAGGCGUUAAGGAAUGGAGGAAGGGGAAGAUCAAAGCCGAGCAGGCGAGACCUGGUGGAGCAGGGCAAGUGUGUUGAAUGAAAGGCCCCGGCUUCCCUCGGGCUCCACGCCAGAAACUCGAAGAGCACGGAAUCCGCCAUGCGCCCACGGACCGCCUGGCGCAAUCUGCUCCCAUUGGCCGGCUCGCGCAAGCCCCGCCCACUCCCGCCUCCAUUGGUGCUUUUGGACUUAGCCCCGCCUUCCCGCCCUG